Molecule: long non-coding RNA, 963 nt
Organism: Pieris napi
Lineage: Eukaryota; Metazoa; Arthropoda; Insecta; Lepidoptera; Pieridae
Exons: 2
Source: RefSeq, a predicted model, not a curated record
GGAAGAUCGUUACCCUUCGUACGCGGGGCACAUUCAUACAGUCAAAAUAAAACUUGAACGAAACAAAGUACAGUCUGUGCUUUUGUAUGUGUGCAUGAGUCGAGUUACCAACUAUACAUCAACGAAGUUUCGUGAAAUUCGCACCGAUGAGAGUGAAGUUACAGGCAUGGACGUGUUUUCGCGCUCGUUAGUGGGGUACAUUCGGACAGCACUAGAUGGGGCACAUUUGAACGAAUUGUACAACUAAAUUUGUAUGAAAAUUUGUCGGCGCGAACUGUCAUUUUCUUACAAAUUAAGUUUUCGACUUUCUACAUAUCACACUACUGUUAAGGCAUCUUGACUAAGGUUGAUUUUGAUGCUUGUGAACCAGAUGCUGUGAAUAAUUUACCAAUCCAUCAAAUAGUAGUUCCUUCGAAGUCAGUUUUGACACCAGAGGCAUUUCGACCCUAUCCGCAUUUUGUAAGAAGUAAUAAAACAAACAAAAUGACGAUGACGGCCAGGAAAACCACGAAUUUAUACUGCCAAACCCGAAAAUAAGAAGUGCUAAUCCACACCAAAGAGUAAAAAAUGUGAUUUUAAAUUUAAGUUACCUAACUAAUAAAAUUUUGUUUUACAUAAGAAAAGUAUUUUAUUUUUGUUUAAUAGAAGUUAAAUCUUUAUUUUUGUGUUUAAUUUCAUUGCUAAUAAAUGAAUUUUGAACUACCCCACAGCGUAAGAAGGUACCCCCAACACUGUACGAAGGUGCCCCGUUGAUGGGGCAGAUUCGUACGAAUUCCAGAUUUAGUUUAAAUCAUAACUGUGGUUAAAACAUCGGAUGAAAUCAUUUGUCAUUUUUUUAUUUGAAUCUCAGAUAGUUAGACUAUAAAUUUAAGCUAUCAGGUGAUUGAUUCAUGGAAAAAGAAAAAAUUAAAAAAAUAAAAUGUGAAAACCGUACGAAGGGUCCCCACCUUCCCCUACGUCUUU